RNAcentral lists this ribosomal RNA (419 nucleotides) under uncultured bacterium. RNAcentral describes it as "bacterial SSU rRNA". It matches the Rfam family "Bacterial small subunit ribosomal RNA", at positions 356 to 772 of the family's 1533-position model. The record is from RNAcentral.
GAGGAAUAUUGGACAAUGGGCGAGAGCCUGAUCCAGCCAUGCCGCGUGCAGGAAGACGGCCCUAUGGGUUGUAAACUGCUUUUAUACAGGAAGAAACACUCCCUCGUGAGGGAGCUUGACGGUACUGUAGGAAUAAGGAUCGGCUAACUCCGUGCCAGCAGCCGCGGUAAUACGGAGGAUCCAAGCGUUAUCCGGAAUCAUUGGGUUUAAAGGGUCCGUAGGCGGGAUAAUAAGUCAGCGGUGAAAGUCUGUGGCUCAACCAUAGAAUUGCCAUUGAUACUGUUGUUCUUGAGUGUUUAUGAAGUGGUUAGAAUAUGUAGUGUAGCGGUGAAAUGCUUAGAUAUUACAUGGAAUACCGAUUGCGAAGGCAGAUCACUAAUAAAAUACUGACGCUGAUGGACGAAAGCGUAGGUAGCGAA